This 209-nucleotide long non-coding RNA is filed under the name Elaeis guineensis (African oil palm). Its description in RNAcentral is "long non-coding RNA (EGUI_LNC024305)". Lineage: Eukaryota; Viridiplantae; Streptophyta; Magnoliopsida; Arecales; Arecaceae. The record is from RNAcentral.
AUCUGCAAGUCAUAAAUUCUCCCAUUGACUUUAUCAAGUCAUGAAGAGGAUUAGAUACAAGCUGGUCUAAAAAUAUCUAAAUCAGUCAUACUGAUUUACGUUAAUGGCAUGGGUCAGCUCGAAUCGACUAGUGACCUAAUCAAAAUAUAAUCCCCCAUGUUGGCCAGAUAAGUGCAGUCAGUGGAAGGGAUAUGCCAUUAACUCACCAC